This 375-nucleotide ribosomal RNA is filed under the name uncultured bacterium. Its description in RNAcentral is "bacterial SSU rRNA". It matches the Rfam family "Bacterial small subunit ribosomal RNA", at positions 432 to 793 of the family's 1533-position model. The record is from RNAcentral.
ACUUUCAGUCGUGAGGAAGGUAGUGUAGUUAAUAGCUGCAUUAUUUGACGUUAGCGACAGAAGAAAGCACCGGCUAACUCCGUGCCAGCAGCCGCGGUAAUACGGAGGGUGCGAGCGUUAAUCGGAAUUACUGGGCGUAAAGCGCAUGCAGGUGGUUUGUUAAGUCAGAUGUGAAAGACCCGGGGCGUCAACCUCGGAAUAGCAUUUGUAAACUAGGCAGACUAGAGUACUGUAGAGGGGGGUAGGAAUUUCAGGUGUAGCGGUGAAAUGCGUAGAGAUCUGAAGGAAUACCGGUGGCGAAGGCGGCCCCCUGGACAAAGACUGACGCUCAGAUGCGAAAGCGUGGGGAGCAAACAGGAUUAGAUACCCUGGUAG